AAGCCCCCUAGCCAGGGGCUGUAGGUAGUAGGCCUCCCCAGAGAGCAGACUAUUUCCUGGGAGAAACAUCUGGAAGAUUCUGGAAGCAAGCACACAUUUUCCAUUCACACACCACUCCACUCUGGGGCAGACAGGUGGCUCAUUUGGAGGACCUGUCACUAAGCGAAGCGCACUGAGCGGCUGCUCCCACAGUGAGCCAAGGGCCUGGUGAUGUUGCCUCUGCUUAUUGCUUUUCUGAAUCUACCUUCAACCUACCUGGCACUUGGCAUUCUCGAUCUCGGCGGUCAGCCUCUGUAUCAUUCUGUUCAGCUCGUUGAUCUCCUCCUUCGUGCGGCGCAGGGUCUCCCCAUGCCGGAUCACGGUGGCCUUCAUCUCCUCACACUGGUGGUUGGAGAUGGGGCACAGAUGUUUAUGAAGCACAGAAGAACAAUCACCCCCUUAGCAUAACACCAAUGAGUGUGUAGCUUGUACAACAGUUCCACAUAGCAGUGCUGGCUGGCCACCCCCUUAGCAUAACACCAAUGAGUGUGUAGCUUGUACAACAGUUCCACAUAGCAGUGCUGGCUGGCCGCCCCAACCUGAGAUCAGUCAGACAUUCUCUUACCACUCCUAAGGGAAAAGAAGCCUUUUCUAAUAGACACCUUGCAUG
Long non-coding RNA from Mus musculus (house mouse), 649 nucleotides. RefSeq annotates it as predicted gene, 53914. The record is from RefSeq and is a predicted model, not a curated record. The transcript is spliced from 3 exons. NCBI's taxonomy places the organism in Eukaryota, Metazoa, Chordata, Mammalia, Rodentia, Muridae.